This 173-nucleotide small RNA is filed under the name uncultured Prevotella sp. RNAcentral describes it as "Bacteroidales-1 6S-Bacteroidales RNA suggested". It matches the Rfam family "Bacteroidales-1 6S-Bacteroidales RNA suggested". The record is from RNAcentral. Lineage: Bacteria; Pseudomonadati; Bacteroidota; Bacteroidia; Bacteroidales; Prevotellaceae.
CGUAUCGGUUAGAUUGGGAUACUCAUCAAAUUAAAACAGAAAACCGAGAAGACUUCUUUUGCCGAUGGCGGGCCACAAUAUCGUAAGGUAUAGCUGUAAAGCCGGUGGAUUACAAAGGCGGAGAGCUCUCAAAUCAUAUAAGACUCGGAGUUUCAUCGCAUCACCGGUACGUU